RNAcentral lists this ribosomal RNA (511 nucleotides) under uncultured bacterium. RNAcentral describes it as "bacterial SSU rRNA". It matches the Rfam family "Bacterial small subunit ribosomal RNA", at positions 355 to 857 of the family's 1533-position model. The record is from RNAcentral.
UGGGGAAUCUUGCGCAAUGGGCGAAAGCCUGACGCAGCGACGCCGCGUGAGGGAGGAAGGCCUUCGGGUUGUAAACCUCUUUCAGGAGGGACGAAGCUACUCGGGUGAAUAGCCCAGAGGGUGACGGUACCUCCAGAAGAAGCCCCGGCUAACUACGUGCCAGCAGCCGCGGUAAUACGUAGGGGGCAAGCGUUGUCCGGAUUUACUGGGCGUAAAGCGCGUGUAGGCGGCCACGCAGGUCCGUUGUGAAAACUAGAGGCUUAACCUCUAGACGUCGACGGAAACCGUGUGGCUAGAGUCCGGAAGAGGAGAGUGGAAUUCCUGGUGUAGCGGUGAAAUGCGCAGAUAUCAGGAAGAACACCAAUGGCGAAAGGCAGCUCUCUGGGACGAUACUGACGCUGAGACGCGAAAGCGUGGGGAGCGAACAGGAUUAGAUACCCUGGUAGUCCACGCCGUAAACGAUGGGUGCUAGGUGUGGGAGGUGUCGACUCCUUCCGUGCCGUAGCUAACG